UACAUGGUCCUCUUUGGGGAACU
This 23-nucleotide non-coding RNA is filed under the name Arabidopsis thaliana (thale cress). Lineage: Eukaryota; Viridiplantae; Streptophyta; Magnoliopsida; Brassicales; Brassicaceae. The record is from RNAcentral.